ACCUGGGAAUGGCAGUGGAUACUGGCAAGCUAGAGUGCGGUAGAGGGUAGUGGAAUUCCCGGUGUAGCAGUGAAAUGCGUAGAGAUCGGGAGGAACACCAGUGGCGAAGGCGGCUACCUGGACCAGCACUGACACUGAAGCACGAAAGCGUGGGGAGCAAACAGGAUUAGAUACCCUGGUAGUCCACGCCCUAAACGAUGCGAACUGGACGUUGGGUGCAACUUGGCACUCAGUGUCGAAGCUAACGCGUUAAGUUCGCCGCCUGGGGAGUACGGUCGCAAGACUGAAACUCAAAGGAAUUGACGGGGGCCCGCACAAGCGGUGGAGUAUGUGGUUUAAUUCGAUGCAACGCGAAGAACCUUACCUGGUCUUGACAUGUCCGGAACCCUGCAGAGAUGCGGGGGUGCCU
This 409-nucleotide ribosomal RNA is filed under the name uncultured bacterium. RNAcentral's name for it is "bacterial SSU rRNA". It matches the Rfam family "Bacterial small subunit ribosomal RNA", at positions 612 to 1019 of the family's 1533-position model. The record is from RNAcentral.